CCAACUUUACAGUGAUAUCAACUUUUCAGAGUACUUGUGAUCUUCAUCACAAGUUUGGUGAUUUUUCUUUUAUUUUAUUAACUCUUUUUAAUUGUUUCUUUUACUUGUUCAUAUUUUAGCUUAUCUUUUAAUUUAAUUUUUAGUUAAUCUUAAUCUUUUUGUAGUUUUAUUUUCUUUUGUUUCUUUGUUUUUGUUACAGUUGUUACUAGUUGUGUAUGCCAUAUU
This 225-nucleotide long non-coding RNA is filed under the name Vitis vinifera (wine grape). RNAcentral describes it as "long non-coding RNA (VVIN_LNC003844)". Lineage: Eukaryota; Viridiplantae; Streptophyta; Magnoliopsida; Vitales; Vitaceae. The record is from RNAcentral.